GCCCGGCUGGCUCAAUCGGUAGAGCACGAGACAAUUGACCUCGUGGUCGUGGUUUCGAGUACCACCUAGGUUU
Molecule: transfer RNA, 73 nt
Filed under: Dreissena polymorpha
Lineage: Eukaryota; Metazoa; Mollusca; Bivalvia; Myida; Dreissenidae
Description: tRNA-Asn
Source: RNAcentral